RNAcentral lists this ribosomal RNA (253 nucleotides) under uncultured bacterium. RNAcentral's name for it is "partial 16S ribosomal RNA". It matches the Rfam family "Bacterial small subunit ribosomal RNA", at positions 524 to 776 of the family's 1533-position model. The record is from RNAcentral.
UACGGAGGGGGUUAGCGUUGUUCGGAAUUACUGGGCGUAAAGCGUACGUAGGCGGACUAGUCAGUCAGAGGUGAAAUCCCAGGGCUCAACCCUGGAACUGCCUUUGAUACUGCUAGUCUUGAGUUCGAGAGAGGUGAGUGGAAUUCCAAGUGUAGAGGUGAAAUUCGUAGAUAUUUGGAGGAACACCAGUGGCGAAGGCGGCUCACUGGCUCGAUACUGACGCUGAGGUACGAAAGUGUGGGGAGCAAACAGG